This 521-nucleotide ribosomal RNA is filed under the name Pseudomonas sp. SMAN1. Its description in RNAcentral is "bacterial SSU rRNA". It matches the Rfam family "Bacterial small subunit ribosomal RNA", at positions 57 to 571 of the family's 1533-position model. Lineage: Bacteria; Pseudomonadati; Pseudomonadota; Gammaproteobacteria; Pseudomonadales; Pseudomonadaceae. The record is from RNAcentral.
GCAGUCCGAGCGGAUGAAGGGAGCUUGCUUCCCUGAUUCCAGCGGCGGACGGGUGAGUAAUGCCUAGGAAUCUGCCUGGUAGUGGGGGACAACGUCUCGAAAGGGACGCUAAUACCGCAUACGUCCUACGGGAGAAAGCAGGGGACCUUCGGGCCUUGCGCUAUCAGAUGAGCCUAGGUCGGAUUAGCUAGUUGGUGAGGUAAUGGCUCACCAAGGCGACGAUCCGUAACUGGUCUGAGAGGAUGAUCAGUCACACUGGAACUGAGACACGGUCCAGACUCCUACGGGAGGCAGCAGUGGGGAAUAUUGGACAAUGGGCGAAAGCCUGAUCCAGCCAUGCCGCGUGUGUGAAGAAGGUCUUCGGAUUGUAAAGCACUUUAAGUUGGGAGGAAGGGUUGUAGAUUAAUACUCUGCUGUUUUGACGUUACCGACAGAAUAAGCACCGGCUAACUCUGUGCCAGCAGCCGCGGUAAUACAGAGGGUGCAAGCGUUAAUCGGAAUUACUGGGCGUAAAGCGCGCG